Molecule: ribosomal RNA, 24 nt
Filed under: Pluteus nevadensis
Lineage: Eukaryota; Fungi; Basidiomycota; Agaricomycetes; Agaricales; Pluteaceae
Description: partial 18S ribosomal RNA
Source: RNAcentral
GGUUUCCGUAGGUGACCUGCGGAA